This 1011-nucleotide long non-coding RNA is filed under the name Capsicum annuum. Its description in RNAcentral is "long non-coding RNA (CANN_LNC008576)". The record is from RNAcentral. Lineage: Eukaryota; Viridiplantae; Streptophyta; Magnoliopsida; Solanales; Solanaceae.
ACAUUUUGUACACUAUUUAUGUAAAAUAAUUAUUUAGAUACAAACUCUAUGCAAUAUUUAUGCAGUUUAUAUACAUCCUAUCGAUAUACAUAUUCUAUACAACAAUGAUACAAAUUCUAUACAGAUCAUAUAUAGAAAAUAUAUUCUAUAUAAUACAAUUUUUAUAUACAUCAUAUACAAACCUUAAAUAUACAAUUUUUAUACACAUCAUAUGCAAACCUCAAAUAUACAGUUUUUAUACACAUCAUAUACAAACCUCAAAUAUGCAGUUCUUAUACAGUUUUAUACACAUCAUAUACAAACCUUAAAUAAACAGUUCUUAUACAGUUUUUAUACACAUCAUAUACAAACUUUCAUUUCUCAGAAAUCUCCAUAGAUAAUCAAUCCUAUGCAAUCUCGAAUCAUAAAACACAUUUUUUUUCAAAACCAAUUCAUUUCCUUCAAAUUUCUUCGACAUAUAUCUAUCCAUUAUUACUUUAGCUUCAACACAAUAGCCCUUUUCUUCCAUCCCGAUCAACCUCUAGAUUUUGCAUAUUUUUUCUUCUUUCAUUCUUCUAUCUCGUUUUUCAUCCACCCACAUAAUUCACAAACUCAAUUCAAUUUAGAUAACCUAAAUAGAAAAAAUUAUGAAUUAGAAUGAAAAAGAUAUAAGUUUUGUUGGGUUCUCUUAAUAGAAAAAAUUAAAAACUAGAAGAAAAGAGAUAUGAGUUUUGGUGGGUUCUUAACUAUCACAAAUUGGAGAAAGAAGAGAAAGAAGAAAGAAAAAUGGUUAUGAAAAGAAGAAACUCAAUUCAAUUUAGAUAACCUAAAUAGAAAAAAUUAAGAAUUAGAAGAAAAAAGAUAUGAGUUUUGUUGGUUUCUUAAUAAAAAAAUUUAAGAACUAGAAGAAAAGAGAUAUGAGUUUUGUUGGAUUCUUAACUAUCACAGAUUGAAGAAAGAAGAAAGAAGAAUGGUUAUGAAAAGAAUGAAGAGUCACAAAAUCCUAUUCCUUUAGCAUGUGGCUCCCUUUUC